UAGAGUUUGAUCCUGGCUCAGGAUAAACGCUGGCGGCGUGCCUAAUACAUGCAAGUCGAGCGNACAGAUAAGGAGCUUGCUCCUUUGACGUUANCGUCGGACGGGUGAGUAACACGUGGGUAACCUACCUAUAAGACUGGGAUAACUUCGGGAAACCGGAGCUAAUACCGGAUAACAUUUGGAACCGCAUGGUUCUAAAGUGAAAGAUGGUUUUGCUAUCACUUAUAGAUGGACCCGCGCCGUAUUAGCUAGUUGGUAAGGUAACGGCUUACCAAGGCGACGAUACGUAGCCGACCUGAGAGGGUGAUCGGCCACACUGGAACUGAGACACGGUCCAGACUCCUACGGGAGGCAGCAGUAGGGAAUCUUCCGCAUAUGGGCGAAAGCCUGACGGAGCAACGCCGCGUGAGUGAUGAAGGGUUUCGGCCUCGUAAAUACUNCUGUUAUUAGGGAAGAACAAAUGUGUAAGUAACUGUGCACGUNCUUGUACGGUACCUAAUCAGAAAGGNNCGGCCUAAAAACG
RNAcentral lists this ribosomal RNA (523 nucleotides) under Staphylococcus saprophyticus. RNAcentral's name for it is "bacterial SSU rRNA". It matches the Rfam family "Bacterial small subunit ribosomal RNA", at positions 1 to 505 of the family's 1533-position model. The record is from RNAcentral. Lineage: Bacteria; Bacillati; Bacillota; Bacilli; Caryophanales; Staphylococcaceae.